AACGCACAUUGCGCCCCUUGGUAUUCCGGGGGGCAUGCCUGUUCGAGCGUCAUUAUCACCCCUCAAGCUCAGCUUGGUGUUGGGGCCUGCCCGUCACAGGGCAGCCCCUAAAAGCAGUGGCGGUGCCAUCUGGCUCUAAGCGUAGUAAUACUCCUCGCUAUAGACGUUAGGUGGUGUCCUGCCAGAACCCCCCAUAUUUUUAAUGAUUGACCUCGGAUCAGGUAGGGAUACCCGCUGAACUUAA
This 244-nucleotide unclassified non-coding RNA is filed under the name uncultured Helotiaceae. Its description in RNAcentral is "sequence contains ITS2". Lineage: Eukaryota; Fungi; Ascomycota; Leotiomycetes; Helotiales; Helotiaceae. The record is from RNAcentral.